Pezoporus flaviventris is the source of this 950-nucleotide long non-coding RNA. RefSeq lists it as uncharacterized. NCBI's taxonomy places the organism in Eukaryota, Metazoa, Chordata, Aves, Psittaciformes, Psittacidae. The transcript has 3 exons. The record is from RefSeq and is a predicted model, not a curated record.
UUCACACAUUUUAUCUAGCUGGACUCUGCCCCUUGACUUUCAUCACACCAUCUCAAUGUCUUUGAUUUUAUGGAAUCUGUUUAUUAGUUGAAAAUGUUUAUUACAGAUUACCAUGAAACAAAAUACUUUUGUCCCAACUGUGCAUGAAGAGUAUUCCAUUACUUUAUUUAUGUAGAAGAUAUUUGCAUUAUGCUUCCAUCUUAAACUCUCCUAUGAAAUUAGUUAUUUUUUGAAUUUGUUUUUUAUCGUUUAUGCCUUAGGUUGGAUGAAAUACUCUUGAAAACCUUCAGAAGACUACUUGGAAAAGAUACUGUUUUCAGUGAAGCUACAAGCAGGAAACUACCACUGGCCUGGGCAGGCACCUAUCCAAAGUUCAGGCAGUUGUUGUAGGCAGAGAGGUCUGUUGUUGACAGAGAGAUCUGCAGCCUUGAGAGAAAGGCAUGCUGUUGUUCUGUCCAUUUGCUGUCACUGCCAUGGAGAGAUCCUUUGACUCUCAGCAAAACAUGACCAGACCACAGUUGCUAAAACUGUCCAGUGUUGAAGUAAUUUAUGCAACCUGCUCCCUGUAUCACCAUAAUAGAGAGCAUCAGCACUUUUUGACUAUGGCCUUUGUACAACAGCUGUGCAUGCAUACAAAUAUAUGAAACUUUUAAGUGGUAGAAAAAUAAUAUAUAUUAAGAAAUUGCAGGAAGAAUCCUUUUAUGCAAUCAAUAUUGGAAAACAAAUUCUGGAUCUGCAUAUAAGUCUGUGGGAAAGGGUUAGUGCCUUACUGGUUUUAGUCUUAAGAAGGAACUAUAUGUCCCCUUUUUAUGACACAAAAAAUAGAAUAUGGCAUCUGAGGAUGAAUAAUUCUUACUAUACACUCUGCCUUUUGUGUCAUCUUUUUUCCCCCAAAAGACAAGAAAAGCUGCCUGAGACAAAUUUGUAUGUUGUGCUUUGCACUCACUGCA